UCACACCCCAGGGGUCUGAGAUCGGACCCACCUCCAUGGUCUUGUAUCCACCUCUUCAUCUUUCCUCCUCACACUGAAGCUCCGCAGCACCUGAAGUCCUCUCCAGCAAAGUGACGAGUCACACCUCGCCCUUCCACCCCCACCCCUGAGGACGGAGAGUUGGGGUGCAGCCCAGUCCCAGUUUCUUUGAUGCUUGACACUCGGCUUCAAAGUCCUUCUCAUCAAAGCCGCGGACUUGGGAUCAGGCCCAGCAGCAGCUCGGCAUCCUGCUUUACACACACAAGAAAGAGACAGGAUGGAGUGUCUCCCCCUUUAGGUUCAUCCGACUUUAACGAGGAACUUCCUUACAAGGGGCACCACAAGACAAAGUUGGUGAAAUUACACAUGAAAGGCUAAAAAUCGAAGCUCGAAACAUGUUGAAAGUGUUUUGUCAGGGUGAUAACAAGAUAUGAAGUUGUACGUUCUUCUACUUUUGUUGUACACAGCAAAAAAUAAGAAACAGGGCUGAUUUGUAAAGAUCAGUGAAAAUGCAUGCGUGCAUCAACAUCUAUAAAGUGUGCAGCUAAAAGGAGUUUUGCCUAUAUACUGUAGAAGGUAUAAAAAUGAUACACAUACAGGAUAUGCCUGGAAACAUUUCCAUAUAAUUUCAAAUGACAUUUUCUAUAUUUGCUCUGCAUCAUAUUUAUUGCCAUAUAUAACUAUAUGUAGUGGUUAUGGAACGUUUAUCACUUCUGCUUUUUAUAGUUGUUUCCUACAGAGCAGCAGCAGAGUCUGGAGUGCAGGUGUUAGUUUUAGAAACCUGCACUUCCUGCAGACAGCGUGAGCUGACAAUAGGGAAGCUUCAGGGAAUAAAAGGUGAGAAGGGUAAAACUCACAAGGUGGGAGAAGUUGUCAAGAUCGGAGGAAGCACAGCUCAAUUUGCUCACAGCCUAAUCUGUUCCUAAAUGAUGAAAUACCAGUUGUUCCUGGAGCUUGCUCAGAAGCCGGAAAGACAAAGUACCACUGUAUCUUUUCUUCAAUCACAGCAUGAAAGCCACAGAGAAGCUGAUAAAUAUAUAUACAGAAAUUGGUGCUUUUAAACAGGAAGGAAAAAUCGGAUCUUGGUGAAUUUAUUUGUACUAAUCUGGAGACAAAUUUUUGAUGUGCACAUUUACUGAUUUUCAGUAGAAAUUACAAACAUUUCCUUAUUUUAUAAAAAGUAUAUUUUGGGAUCCCAAGACCAGGAUACAAAUACAAACCAGAGAUAAUCAUUUCCCACUGAUGCAUGUGUGAAGAUGCCUUUCUUAACAUGUGGAUCCCUCUAAAAACCGUUAAUAAUAAUAGAUCAGAUAAUAGAUAGAUAAUAAAUAGAUCAGCCAUAAGCAUAAUUAUGAUAUAAACAGCUCGGGUAUAUAACACGGCUACGAGCUCUGGUUUCAGAUAAAGAAGAAGAUGAGAGUUAUCACCUGACCCCAACUGUCGCGUCGGCCUUAUCAAAAAUAUAAAAGUAAAACCUGUGGAGUGUUGACAUCGUUAGUCCUUUACCCAGAAACAUGUAUUUCUUUGUGUGCUCCAUGUGCGUGAGUGUGCACAUGCUCCUGUAUGUGCAUUUGGGAGAUAAAACUGUGGUAACCUCUCCAGUGAUAAUCCUGCUGCCUGUCAGUCCAGGCAUAAUGGAGCCAUACCGGGACGCUCUUCCACUGUGACUGUCUGGAACAUACACACACACACACACACACACACAACCUUUAUUAUCUUCCAAUAUCUGGGCCACCUGGGGACAACCCCCAUUGUCUGCUGAAGCCGCGCAGACACAUAAGCGCUCCGUCUGUACAAGAGGCACAGAUAACUGUCUGACUAUACGUGGGGCAGAUGAACUAGAACAGUGUAGACACGGCAGCCUCACCUGACCGUCUGGAGCCUCGUUGCUCUCAGCACAUAAGGUCAGAACACACUUGAGGGACGUGAAGGGCAGGAAACACUGCGAGCAGAGCACUGGCUCGUACUUGGAAAUAUAAGAUCAGGAAGACAGAGGGAAUUGGAAAGAGAGAAACACUCAAGCAGAGAGACACACACAGCGGUUCGUUCACACUCUUUUGCUCUUUUUCCACUUGGCUGAGCGAUAGACGGAUGCACAGAAAGUGAUGGAAGCAACCUUUCGCAGAAGGGGAUGUUCAGAUGAGAGACUUUAUCGAAGCAGCACGGGUGGCACAGGGAGGAUAAUCUGCUGGAUGUCCACCCUCAGUUCUCAGGAUGGGAAUGUGUGGAUUGUGUCCUAGCUUGUUGCCCGGGCUAACGCUCUCCCCUGUCAAGAUAAUUCAUAGGUCAUGGUUGUUCGCCUCCAUCUGCAUGUGUUGUGUAAACUAGGAAAAACACGUUCCCUAAGGUUACUGCAGUAGUCUUACAGGAGGAGCUGCAGGUGUUAUGUGGGGCUGGGGCUGAUGGUCCCUGCACACUCACAGUGAGAGCUGCAUCUGGGUCAAGGACAUUAAAAGCAUGCACUGAACUGACAUGGGGAUUACUGAUUGUGACAACACUUGAGGAGGUUAUUAUUGUAUACUGGUAAUGGUAAGAAAAAUAUACAAGACAAAGUGGCAGAGAUGACAAGCUCUAGAGAUUCUUUUUUUCUUAAAAGCUUUCCACAAUUAUUAUUAUUAUCAUUUCUUCAAAGUCUUCUCCCGGCCUUACUGCACAUCCUGAUUCACUACACCCACUGUUGACGUCCACGCGUCUUGCAGAGGAUGCACACAGCUAGCGCUCUUACGAAAACUCAGGACACAGCAGAUAGCCACCGCACAUGCACAUGAGAUUUUCCUUAUUGCAGAUCAAUCAGGGUAAUGUUAGCUUAGAAGGAUCUACUGGAAACAGCGCUUUACCGGGUGGGUAGCAGACCAUUUACACGCCUCCCCUUGCAUGGUAAUGUGCACACUGACGAAACAUUAAAGAGGCAGUAUAAAGUGACUGAAAAUGAAAACUAGUGAAGCGAGAACUGUUGGGCAGCUUCAGUGGGUAAAUCUGGGAGUUGUGGUCUACAAACAGCUUUUGGAAGAUUCUGUUGACGCUUUUUGACUUCAGUGAAACGCUGGACUACCACUUCAUGAGAAAAAUGAUCGGUAUUUUGUCAACAGUUUUUUUUUGACAGUGCCCGUUUACACGCGCAGCACCACAACAGUACAUCCAUUGAUCAGAUGAAAUUUCCCCCUCUGUUACUCUGUUUGUUAUUACGACAUAAGGCGAUUAAAUUCAGUGUCAACAUAAAAAAACAUGGACAUGUUGACACGCUGCAUUAAUGCCCGUGAAACUUGACAUGGACAAGUGGUUUGACCCUGUCACAUGCACCACAACAGCUGCAGGAAAUCAAAUGAAUGGUGGCUGAGGUCUGCGGCAAUCUUAUGAAAGAGUGCACACCAUGGGACGUAGGGCUUGGUGAUGGUCCUUAGACUGUGUUAACAACAUUAAUCAUUCAGCAAUUGUGAAUAAAUUACUUCAAAUGGA
Long non-coding RNA from Seriola aureovittata, 3474 nucleotides. RefSeq lists it as uncharacterized. NCBI's taxonomy places the organism in Eukaryota, Metazoa, Chordata, Actinopteri, Carangiformes, Carangidae. The transcript is spliced from 2 exons. The record is from RefSeq and is a predicted model, not a curated record.